GCGAGAAUAGCUCAUUUGGUAGAGUACUACCUUGCCAAGGUAGUGGUAGCGGGUUCGAAUCCCGUUUCUCGCUCAA
This 76-nucleotide transfer RNA is filed under the name Candidatus Karelsulcia muelleri. RNAcentral describes it as "Candidatus Sulcia muelleri tRNA-Gly". It matches the Rfam family "tRNA". From Rfam's summary of the family: Transfer RNA (tRNA) molecules are approximately 80 nucleotides in length. Their secondary structure includes four short double-helical elements and three loops (D, anti-codon, and T loops). Lineage: Bacteria; Pseudomonadati; Bacteroidota; Flavobacteriia; Flavobacteriales. RNAcentral also lists the same sequence under 2 other names. The record is from RNAcentral.